Molecule: long non-coding RNA, 1938 nt
Filed under: Patiria miniata (bat star)
Lineage: Eukaryota; Metazoa; Echinodermata; Asteroidea; Valvatida; Asterinidae
Description: uncharacterized LOC119733428
Source: RNAcentral
GGAUGACCUGCUUACUGGGCUACCCAUUACUGAUCUUGAGAACACAUGUUGUGUUGAACUUGCUGUCUCACCAAAGCCACUUGCCCACAGACCCAUCCCAAGCGGGAUCCUUGAAUGGUGCUUUCCAUGACUGAAGAACCCUUGAUCAGCAAGGCAUGCCAAGGUAUUGUAAAGAGAGAGAGGGAAUAGAGUUGAUGGAGUGAUAGUUGUUUGAUUGAAACAGGCAUGGUUCUACAUUGGGCGGUAAACUUAGUAUCGGGAAUAAUAACAAUAAUUUGACUGAUUUAUUGUUGUUAUGUAGUUUCUAAAAGUAAUUGAACAAAUUUAAAACUACGGUUUUUAUGACUAAUUCUAAGUGUACAACCAUGCCUGGAUUCGGAAUCCCUGUUCCGUCCUAACCCCCCAGAAAGGGAUGUAAGUGCUCAUGUGAUUGUCUGAUUUCCUUCUUUGUUUAAACUACAUUUUGUAAUUGAAAUGUCAGUCAAAGAGAUGAUUGCACUUACAUCCCUGCUAAGCUUCGUAUGGACAACUGAACAAUGGUAUAUCCAGUUUUUGGUCGAGGGAGCACCAUUUUUAAAUUUUUUUUUGGCUUGAAAAGUGGCAUUUGUUUUUCUUGUUAAAGUGUUUCAAAGCAUGAAGGUAUUAGGAUACUAUGAGGUUCAUUUUGAAACAUAUAAAAAUCAUGGUGGCAUUUUCCUCCUCCCUGCUGGAUAUACAACACUGCAACCAUAACCACAACAAAUACAUACUGGUAUUUAGUGUCAUUGGUUUCAGGUAUUUUGUUGUCAUGAUUAUACUUUUUGUUAAUGAAUUAAAUGAAACAUUUAAUGUUAAUAAAAUGGAGAUCACAACAAUGGCUUUGCACAUCUUCCAGGCUUAAACUUCCUUUCCCUGAACGUUUUCAAGUUUAUUUUCCAAAAAUUGAGUUGUUUUUCUUUUUCUGUACAGACGUAUGUGUGACCCCAAAUCAUGUUUGUUGCCCUUUUUUGUGUGGAUUACGGGUUGAAAAGUAAUCAAAUUAAAAAAGAGUUUGAAAGUAAUUUGUACAAUUAUAAGCUGAUAAGCGAACUCUUAUAAACGGGAAAAGUCACUCGUUGAAGAGUUUCAUGGAAAGGAGGUUUUUGUGCAUUUUGUGUUAGAGACAAGGCAUUCUUUCACAGUUAUGUUAUGAACAGCAUGUUAUUAUGCGUAUCUGCCUUUGGUUACUGGAAUAAUGUUAUGGAGUAAAGUUUGGCUACUGGAACGAAGUCUGGAAAUCUAGAAAACCGAGCACAUCAAGUUUUGACGAUGCGAUACCCCUGCCAGUCUAAUUUUCUUGGACAGAUGAGAAGAGCUAUGUGGUGAUUCAACAGAGGAGCCAGAUGAUGAAUUGGACUAAAACACUGUGCAUCCAUCCAGGGUGUGUAUUUAUCGAUCCUUUUUUUUUUUUUAGAAAUCAUCUCCAUGUCAAGAGAUCAUCAGAACUGAAAUUAGAAUAACAGUCAUUACCUGUGCUACAUUGUGUUGGCUUUAUGGCUAUUGAACUAUUUGCUUCAUGAACUAAUGAGACCAUGCCAUACUGAUUGUAUGCAUGUAGUUUUUGGUUAUUUCGUUGAUUAAUGUUGGCCGAAAACCCAUUAUUGGUGAUGAUGUAACCGCUAUAUUUAGAGCCUCAACCCGAAAAAAAAACACACCUAAAAAAACCCCCCAAAGCUGCAAAGUUUAACUUACAUGUAACAUUUCAAUGAAAAAAUAAUUACCGAAUCAAUCACCCUUUGCUGUACCACAAGGUUUGACUGUAUAUUACUUUUUGUUUUGUAAUUGUUAUUGAAAGUUUGUUUUUGUGGUUUUGAAAUAUCACAUUCUGUGCUUGUUUAAACUUUGACUCGGGGUAUUUAAAAGUGUAUUUGACCGAUAAUUGUUCUUUUAAUGUAAAAUUAUGUAUUGAGGUGACCUGAA